UUUAGUAUAUCUUAGCCAAAAAAUUAUCCUUGCAGUUUUCCUCUUCUACACAAAAUCCUAACCUCCAUAGUUCACAAUUCCCCUUUCUAAUCCUAAUCUUUGUGGAUUCUACUCCUAGCCCCAUAGUUCACAAUUCUUUGACGCCCAUCAAUAUAGCCUUCACUAUUAUUAAUCUUUUUCUAUUACUUGCCACUAUAAGAUAAGAAUGUAGAGCAUUUCUAUCCUUUGUUUGCUUUUGGUGAUAGUGGUUGGAAGAAGAUUCUAAAGUUGAAGGAGACGAUAGGAGAUUAUCUUGGUUUGAUGGACAAGGAGUUAGAGAGUUUUGUAGAUUAGGAACUCCAAUGGGAACUUGUUUUCCAUGUAAGAGUCCUUAAUCUUUUCAUAAUGAUGUAUAUAGUCUUAGAUGUUUAAUUUGCUGGAAAUAUAUGUGUGUGAACUUGUUUUUGUUUAACAAAAUGUGUGGUACUCGCUUAUGGUAUUACGUCGUCAUGAAAUGUUACUAAAUAUUUCUAUUUUUUGUAUGCAUUUGAGUAUUUGUGAUAAAAUUUGAUGAUUGUUUAUAAAGUAUUGUGACAAAGUUGUAAUUUGAAAAUAUCUCAAUUGUAAUGGUUAUAUUAUUGCUUA
Lupinus albus (white lupine) is the source of this 624-nucleotide non-coding RNA. Lineage: Eukaryota; Viridiplantae; Streptophyta; Magnoliopsida; Fabales; Fabaceae. The record is from the annotation of a GenBank genome assembly.